AUACACUCCACGCAGAAGGCAAUAAACUAAAUUGUCGUAUUCAUGACCGAAACAGCAGUGAAUAUCGUAUGACGAGUCGGCUUUGCGGAUUUUACGGAGAUAGAAAUCUUUGAUGAAAGUGGAGGAGCACAUCUACAGGUCGUCGGGUGGUCAAGAGAUCAGGCUCACACGUCUAAAUAGCGUGUCAUAGCCAAAAAUUGACUACCCGAUGAUACCAAGCCGUUCAUUCAAAGAGACCGCGGUGAUUCGGGAUAAAUUGAAGGACCUCCAUUGUAACGUACUGUUUGCGUGAUACGUCGAUCUAGUCGUUCUAGCUUGUCGUCGUCAUCAUUUAAGGUAACCCGUUCUCCUCC
Molecule: long non-coding RNA, 353 nt
Organism: Varroa destructor (honeybee mite)
Lineage: Eukaryota; Metazoa; Arthropoda; Arachnida; Mesostigmata; Varroidae
Source: RefSeq, a predicted model, not a curated record